AUAUAAUUUCUGCAUUGGUGGAUUGCUUUGGAUAAAACCGUCUGUUAAAUGUUUAUUGCAGUACCCAGACAUCAGAUGAUUCAGGGUCGGAGAAGGACCGGAAUGUCUGCUACCUUAUGUUGAUUAGAAAAGGUAGACUUUUAGAAGAAAGAAGAAAAGGACUCCGGUGCUGUCUGUGAUGUUGAAUAGGUGGUGAGAAUAGUCUGUCUUUUAAAAAGAAGCGCGAUGUGACGGAUUCUGUGAAAAGCUGGGCCUGUAUAAGAGGGGCUUAGAAAUAGUUCAGUUAAAGUUGUAUUUGGUUUGUAGAACUCAAUUACGUGUUUAGCCGUUGUUGGUGUAGGUAGGUUUUGUUUGUAUUCGAAAAAGUGCCUUGGUAUUGCAGAUUCAACUCUUAAUUCAAUUGUUUAUUUGAUGUUGUUACAAGUAAAAUGACAUACAGUAGCCCUACAAAAAUUCCCUGUGUGGAUGGAGAAGAAUUUUCUUAAUUGAGAGACAAGUUCCGCUUAUUAGUAGCAUAUUCGGCAUUGGAUCCUGCAACACCCAGGAAUUGUGUCAAGGAGGAGGUCACGGAACUCUGAAUUCUUGUGAUGAGGAAAUUUGGUGGCAUGGAUUCGAAAAUUAAAACUUUAAGAAGAGAUUUGGGUAAAGCAAAACAUAUGCUAAACAACAUGGAAACUGAAUUGGAGGCAGCAAAGGCAGCUCAGGAUUUUUUGAGAAAUGAUGUCCUUAAUCCUGAGCAAGAAGGAGGUUCCGUUUUGAGAAAUGAUGGCGUUAACUCUGAUCAGGAGGAAGGGUCUGUUGAGGGUGCCAUAUCGACUGUGACAGAGAGGAAGCGGCAUAUUGAAGUUCCAAAAGUAUUUGUUUGAAAAGUUUUACUUAGUUUGUUAUUGUAAUUUCAUAUGUAUAUAGUGUUGUUUUAUAUAAUAAAUAUUUUUGUGAUUUUGUGUUUGUGUUUGGUGAAGUGAGUUUUUGCAGUUUUUUGGUAGGCCUUAUAUGAAAAAUUGCAGUGUUAAAUGUAGUUAUAAUGGACGUUUUUAUUAUAAGGAAUGCCUAACUUGUUUGUGUGAUUUAAAAUGAGUGAAAUAAAAGUAAUUACAA
Misgurnus anguillicaudatus (oriental weatherfish) is the source of this 1098-nucleotide non-coding RNA. Lineage: Eukaryota; Metazoa; Chordata; Actinopteri; Cypriniformes; Cobitidae. The record is from RefSeq and is a predicted model, not a curated record.